RNAcentral lists this long non-coding RNA (6328 nucleotides) under Volvox carteri. Its description in RNAcentral is "long non-coding RNA (VCAR_LNC003898)". The record is from RNAcentral. Lineage: Eukaryota; Viridiplantae; Chlorophyta; Chlorophyceae; Chlamydomonadales; Volvocaceae.
UCGACGAUUUGGUUGGCUACCUCGACUUGGCAGGCUAUACUCUUUCUGAUUCGGCUGCCACCAAUUGGGUCGUCUUGAGUGUGGGUCCGGCAUCCCUAGUGACAGAUCUUAGGAUUUGGGUACAAGGCAUUAGACCCAUCGACUUCAAACUUCUUCGUCUCCAUUAUCUUCCCCGAGAAUGAAUACUGGAGCUUCAGCCGAUCCGGCGGUAAACACCGUUACUUCACCGUUGGCGGCCUUGGCGCUUGCACCGGCGCCUACGGUCGCUUCGCCCGAUCAGCCUUCUGGGUCUCAACCUCGGGCUGUCCCUAUUCCUACUGCCGUGGAUCCGGCACCGCUUCCUUCGCCGGUCAACGGUGACACUACAAUGUCCGAUUCACAGCCGGGCACUAUUACUCGGUGCCUGCACCCCUUCGAUCCUCCGCAGCCCGACAGAUGUCGCCUUGUUUCAGUGGACGCUGCGGCAAAGGUGCAAUUGAGUUUGCCCGACUACAUUUCUUUCCUGGUCGACGAUUUGGUUGGCUACCUCGACUUGGCAGGCUAUACUCUUUCUGAUUCGGCUGCCACCAAUUGGGUCGUCUUGAGCAUGGGUCCAGCGUCCCUAGUGACAGAUCUUAGGAUUUGGGUACAAGGCAUUAGAUCCAUCGACUUCAAACUUCUUCGUCUCCAUUAUCUUCCCCGAGAAUGAAUACUGGAGCUUCAGCCGAUCAGGCAGUAAACACCGUUACUUCACCGUUGGCGGCCUUGGCACUUGCACCGGCGCCUACGGUCGCUUCACCCAAUCAGCCUUCUGGGUCUCAACCUCGGGCUGUCCCUAUUCCUACUGCCGUGGAUCCGGCACCGCUUCCUUCACCGGUCAACGGUGACACUACAAUGUCCGAUUCACAGCCGGGCACUGUUACUUGGCACCUGCACCCCUUCGAUCCUCCGCAGCCCGACAGACGUCGCCUUGUUUCAGUGGACGCUGCAGCAAAGGUGCAAUUGAGUUUGCCCGACUACAUUUCUUUCCUGGUCGACGAUUUGGUUGGCUACCUCGACUUGGCAGGCUAUACUCUUUCUGAUUCGGCUGCCACCAAUUGGGUCGUCUUGAGUGUGGGUCCGGUGUCCCUAGUGACAGAUCUUAGGAUUUGGGUACAAGGCAUUAGACCCAUCGACUUCAAACUUCUUCGUCUCCAUUAUCUUCCCCGAGAAUGAAUACUGGAGCUUCAGCCGAUCAGGCGGUAAACACCGUUACUUCGCUGUUGGCAGCCUUGGCACUUGCACCGGCGCCUACGGUCGCUUCACCCAAUCAGCCUUCUGGGUCUCAACCUCGGGCUGUCCCUAUUCCUACUGCCAUGGAUCCGGCACCGCUUCCUUCACCGGUCAACGGUGACACUACAAUGUCCGAUUCACAGCCGGGCACUGUUACUCGGCACCUGCACCCCUUCGAUCCUCCGCAGCCCGACAGACGUCGCCUUGUUUCAGUGGACGCUGCGGCAAAGGUGCAAUUGAGUUUGCCCGACUACAUUUCUUUCCUGGUCGACGAUUUGGUUGGCUACCUCGACUUGGCAGGCUAUACUCUUUCUGAUUCGGCUGCCACCAAUUGGGUCGUCUUGAGUGUGGGUCCGGCGUCCCUAGUGACAGAUCUUAGGAUUUGGGUACAAGGCAUUAGACCCAUCGACUUCAAACUUCUUCGUCUCCAUUAUCUUCCCCGAGAAUGAAUACUGGAGCUUCAGCCGAUCAGGCGGUAAACACCGUUACUUCGCUGUUGGCAGCCUUGGCGCUUGCACCGGCGCCUACGGUCGCUUCGCCCGAUCAGCCUUCUGGGUCUCAACCUCGGGCUGUCCCUAUUCCUACUGCCGUGGAUCCGGCGCCGCUUCCUUCGCCGGUCAACGGUGACACUACAAUGUCCGAUUCACAGCCGGGCACUGUUACUCGGUGCCUGCACCCCUUCGAUCCUCCGCAGCCCGACAGACGUCGCCUUGUUUCAGUGGACGCUGCGGCAAAGGUGCAAUUGAGUUUGCCCGACUACAUUUCUUUCCUGGUCGACGAUUUGGUUGGCUACCUCGACUUGGCAGGCUAUACUCUUUCUGAUUCGGCUGCCACCAAUUGGGUCGUCUUGAGUGUGGGUCCGGCGUCCCUAGUGACAGAUCUUAGGAUUUGGGUACAAGGCAUUAGACCCAUCGACUUCAAACUUCUUCGUCUCCAUUAUCUUCCCCGAGAAUGAAUACUGGAGCUUCAGCCGAUCAGGCGGUAAACACCGUUACUUCGCUGUUGGCAGCCUUGGCGCUUGCACCAGCGCCUACGGUCGCUUCACCCAAUCAGCCUUCUGGGUCUCAACCUCGGGCUGUCCCUAUUCCUACUGCCGUGGAUCCGGCGCCGCUUCCUUCGCCGGUCAACGGUGACACUACAAUGUCCGAUUCACAGCCGGGAAUUGUUACUCGGUGCCUGCACCCCUUCGAUCCUCCGCAGCCCGACAGACGUCGCCUUGUUUCAGUGGACACUGCGGCAAAGGUGCAAUUGAGUUUGCCCGACUACAUUUCUUUCCUGGUCGACGAUUUGGUUGGCUACCUCGACUUGGCAGGCUAUACUCUUUCUGAUUCGGCUGCCACCAAUUGGGUCGUCUUGAGCAUGGGUCCAGCGUCCCUAGUGACAGAUCUUAGGAUUUGGGUACAAGGCAUUAGAUCCAUCGACUUCAAACUUCUUCGUCUCCAUUAUCUUCCCCGAGAAUGAAUACUGGAGCUUCAGCCGAUCAGGCAGUAAACACCGUUACUUCACCGUUGGCGGCCUUGGCACUUGCACCGGCGCCUACGGUCGCUUCACCCAAUCAGCCUUCUGGGUCUCAACCUCGGGCUGUCCCUAUUCCUACUGCCGUGGAUCCGGCACCGCUUCCUUCACCGGUCAACGGUGACACUACAAUGUCCGAUUCACAGCCGGGCACUGUUACUUGGCACCUGCACCCCUUCGAUCCUCCGCAGCCCGACAGACGUCGCCUUGUUUCAGUGGACGCUGCAGCAAAGGUGCAAUUGAGUUUGCCCGACUACAUUUCUUUCCUGGUCGACGAUUUGGUUGGCUACCUCGACUUGGCAGGCUAUACUCUUUCUGAUUCGGCUGCCACCAAUUGGGUCGUCUUGAGUGUGGGUCCGGCGUCCCUAGUGACAGAUCUUAGGAUUUGGGUACAAGGCAUUAGACCCAUCGACUUCAAACUUCUUCGUCUCCAUUAUCUUCCCCGAGAAUGAAUACUGGAGCUUCAGCCGAUCAGGCGGUAAACACCGUUACUUCGCUGUUGGCAGCCUUGGCGCUUGCACCGGCGCCUACGGUCGCUUCGCCCGAUCAGCCUUCUGGGUCUCAACCUCGGGCUGUCCCUAUUCCUACUGCCGUGGAUCCGGUGCCGCUUCCUUCGCCGGUCAACGGUGACGCUACAAUGUCCGAUUCACAGCCGGGCACUGUUACUGGGCGCCUGUGCCCCCUCGAUCCUCUGCAGCCCGACAGACGUCGCCUUGUUUCAGUGGACGCUGCGGCAAAGGUGCAAUUGAGUUUGCCCGACCACAUUUCUUUCCUGGUCGACGAUUUGGUUGGCUACCUCGACUUGGCAGGCUAUACUCUUUCUGAUUCAGCUGCCACCAAUUGGGUCAUCUUGAGCGUGGGUCCGGCGUCCCUAGUGACAGAUCUUAGGAUUUGGGUACAAGGCAUAAGACCCAUCGACUUCAAACUUCUUCGUCUCCAUUAUCUUCCCCGAGAAUGAAUACUGGAGCUUCAGCCGAUCCGGCGGUAAACACCGUUACUUCACCGUUGGCGGCCUUGGCGCUUGCACCGGCGCCUACGGUCGCUUCACCCAAUCAGCCUUCUGGGUCUCAACCUCGGGCUGUCCCUAUUCCUACUGCCGUGGAUCCGGCACCGCUUCCUUCACCGGUCAACGGUGACACUACAAUGUCCGAUUCACAGCCGGGCACUGUUACUCGGCACCUGCACCCCUUCGAUCCUCCGCAGCCCGACAGACGUCGCCUUGUUUCAGUGGACGCUGCAGCAAAGGUGCAAUUGAGUUUGCCCGACUACAUUUCUUUCCUGGUCGACGAUUUGGUUGGCUACCUCGACUUGGCAGGCUAUACUCUUUCUGAUUCGGCUGCCACCAAUUGGGUCGUCUUGAGUGUGGGUCCGGUGUCCCUAGUGACAGAUCUUAGGAUUUGGGUACAAGGCAUUAGAUCCUUCGACUUCAAACUUCUUCGUCUCCAUUAUCCUCCCCGAGAAUGAAUACUGGAGCUUCAGCCGAUCAGGCGGUAAACACCGUUACUUCGCCGUUGGCACCUUGGUGCUUGCACCAGCGCCUACGGUCGCUUCGCCCGAUCAGCCUUCUGGGUCUCAACCUCGGGCUGUCCCUAUUCCUACUGCCGUGGAUCCGGCACCGCUUCCUUCGCCGGUCAACGGUGACACUACAAUGUCCGAUUCACAGCCGGGCACUGUUACUCGGUGCCUGCACCCCUUCGAUCCUCCGCAGCCCGACAGACGUCGCCUUGUUUCAGUGGACGCUGCGGCAAAGGUGCAAUUGAGUUUGCCCGACUACAUUUCUUUCCUGGUCGACGAUUUGGUUGGCUACCUCGACUUGGCAGGCUAUACUCUUUCUGAUUCGGCUGCCACCAAUUGGGUCGUCUUGAGUGUGGGUCCGGUGUCCCUAGUGACAGAUCUUAGGAUUUGGGUACAAGGCAUUAGAUCCAUCGACUUCAAACUUCUUCGUCUCCAUUAUCUUCCCCGAGAAUGAAUACUGGAGCUUCAGCCGAUCCGGCAGUAAACACCGUUUCUUCACCGUUGGCGGCCUUGGCGCUUGCACCGGCGCCUACGGUCGCUUCACCCAAUCAGCCUUCUGGGUCUCAACCUCGGGCUGUCCCUAUUCCUACUGCCGUAGAUCCGGCACCGCUUCCUUCGCCGGUCAACGGUGACACUACAAUGUCCGAUUCACAGCCGGGCACUGUUACUCGGUGCCUGCACCCCUUCGAUCCUCCGCAGCCCGACAGACGUCGCCUUGUUUCAGUGGAUGCUGCGGCAAAGGUGCAAUUGAGUUUGCCCGACUACAUUUCUUUCCUGGUCGACGAUUUGGUUGGCUACCUCGACUUGGCAGGCUAUACUCUUUCUGAUUCGGCUGCCACCAAUUGGGUCGUCUUGAGUGUGGGUCCGGCAUCCCUAGUGACAGAUCUUAGGAUUUGGGUACAAGGCAUUAGAUCCAUCGACUUCAAACUUCUUCGUCUCCAUUAUCUUCCCCGAGAAUGAAUACUGGAGCUUCAGCCGAUCAGGCGGUAAACACCGUUACUUCGCAGUUGGCGGCCUUGGCACUUGCACCGGCACCUACGGUCGCUUCGCCCGAUCAGCCUUCUGGGUCUCAACCUCAGGCUGUCCCUAUUCCUACUGCCGUGGAUCCGGCACCGCUUCUUUUUAUUCCGCUUUUUUUUCCUUUGCCGGUCAACGGUGACACUACAAUGUCCGAUUCACAGCCGGGCACUGUUACUCGGCGCCUGCACCCCCUCGAUCCUCCGCAGCCCGACAGACGUCGCCUUGUUUCAGUGGACGCUGCGGCAAAGGUGCAAUUGAGUUUGCCCGACUACAUUUCUUUCCUGGUCGACGAUUUGGUUGGCUACCUCGACUUGGCAGGCUAUACUCUUUCUGAUUCGGCUGCCACCAAUUGGGUCGUCUUGAGUGUGGGUCCGGCGUCCCUAGUGACAGAUCUUAGGAUUUGGGUACAAGGCAUUAGAUCCAUCGACUUCAAACUUCUUCGUCUCCAUUAUCCUCCCCGAGAAUGAAUACUGGAGCUUCAGCCGAUCAGGCGGUAAACACCGUUACUUCGCCGUUGGCACCUUGGUGCUUGCACCAGCGCCUACGGUCGCUUCGCCCGAUCAGCCUUCUGGGUCUCAACCUCGGGCUGUCCCUAUUCCUACUGCCGUGGAUCCGGCACCGCUUCCUUCGCCGGUCAACGGUGACACUACAAUGUCCGAUUCACAGCCGGGCACUGUUACUCGGUGCCUGCACCCCUUCGAUCCUCCGCAGCCCGACAGACGUCGCCUUGUUUCAGUGGACGCUGCGGCAAAGGUGCAAUUGAGUUUGCCCGACUACAUUUCUUUCCUGGUCGACGAUUUGGUUGGCUACCUCGACUUGGCAGGCUAUACUCUUUCUGAUUCGGCUGCCACCAAUUGGGUCGUCUUGAGUGUGGGUCCGGCAUCCCUAGUGACAGAUCUUAGGAUUUGGGUACAAGGCAUUAGAUCCAUCGACUUCAAACUUCUUCGUCUCCAUUAUCUUCCCCGAGAAUGAAUACUGGAGCUUCAGCCGAUCAGGCAGUAAACACCGUUACUUCACCAUUGGCGGC